RNAcentral lists this long non-coding RNA (1179 nucleotides) under Marmota monax (woodchuck). Lineage: Eukaryota; Metazoa; Chordata; Mammalia; Rodentia; Sciuridae. The record is from RNAcentral.
GGCAUGCUACUGCUGAGCUGCAUCCCAAGCCCCUUUUAUUUUUUUCUUUUGAGACAAGGUCUUCAAUAAGUUGCUGAAGCUGGCCUCAAAUUUGCAACCCUCCUUCCUUAGCCUCCCAAGUCUCUGGGAUUACAGGCAUGUGCCACCAUGCCCAGGCAAAAGCAUUAUUUUUUAAUUAAAUAUUUUUUUAUGUGACUUACCAUCAUAGUCACAGAUAUUGUGGGAAGUAAGGCAUUGGCAUUUCUAACUCAAAGUAUAUAUUAUAUGAAGAUCUAAUAGUGUUUUAUGGUCACUGUGAAAUCACUAUUUACUCGCAAUUUUUUGUAAACUGAUUAUGCGUGCAAACUUAAUUUAACUUGAAAAGCUGAUUUUCUCCCCCACAGAUUCUAAUUUCAGUGACCCCGUUACUGGAGCACCAGUUCAGUACUUACAAAGACUUUCCAAAAUGGCUCUUUUGGAGUUUAAUACCAUUCGUCAGGAAACAAGUAAAAAAUCAAAAAAAGGCAAGAAGCGAGAGUUACGAGACUACUGAUAAAUACCAUACGGUGUGAUGCUUUCUUCACUGCUUUUUAAGGUUUAUAGUUGCUUUUUUUUUUUUUUGAUAUGUGAUAUGAUGUGCAAUGAUUUACAUAAAAAUGGAAAUGUAAAUAUGAAAUAAAUAUUUUAUGUUAUACGUGGAAUGGUUUGUAUUUUGUUAACAUCACAAAGAGUCAUUUAAAUUAAGGGAAUAUAAGCAUUAGAGAAAUUAUAUUCCCUGAAUUUUAUGCACAUUGAUUUUUUUCCUUUAGACUUAAUUGACUCAACAUUAUUUGAGUACCUGUCUGUGCAAUGAACUUUGCUGCAGAAAGUCUUCCUGGAAGACAAAAGAAGACGGAAAGAGGAGGAGAGUCGGUGUCCUUGCAUGUUUUAUAUUAAUUUACACAAAUACACUAUUAAUAUGUAUGUGUUUGUCUGCAUUAUUACAAUGGAUUAGUUCCUAGGAGGAUAACUAAUUUAAAUGGUUUUGUUUAUAUUUUGAUUGGGAUCAUAUGAAUUUUGAUCAUAUGAGAACAUGUGAAUUUUCAAAAUCAUAUAAAUUUUGAUUGAGAAUGAUUCAAAUACUACCUGUAUUAAAAGGUAUUCUCAAUAAAAAUUUGGUGACCUUUCUUGAACGAGCACUUCUUUGACUGUCAGGUGGAU